UACACACCGCCCGUCACACCACGAAAGCCUGUUGUACCUGAAGUCGUUGGCGCCAACCGCAAGGAGGCAGACGCCCACGGUAUGGCCGGUGAUUGGGGUG
RNAcentral lists this ribosomal RNA (100 nucleotides) under uncultured bacterium. RNAcentral's name for it is "partial 16S ribosomal RNA". It matches the Rfam family "Bacterial small subunit ribosomal RNA", at positions 1384 to 1482 of the family's 1533-position model. The record is from RNAcentral.